AUAUUUUCUUGGCAGAGGAAAUACCAUGACCAUGAAGAUGCUUUUCCCAAGGAGAAGCUUAUUCAUUGCACUCUGGAUGUGCUGACCCAUGCUAUUUCUCUAAAUGGAGGAAACUUGACUGAAAAAUGUAUGGUAGUGGGGGACUCAGUUUGUGCACCUCAUCCCCA
Small nuclear RNA from Phodopus roborovskii (desert hamster), 167 nucleotides. RefSeq annotates it as U1 spliceosomal RNA. Lineage: Eukaryota; Metazoa; Chordata; Mammalia; Rodentia; Cricetidae. The transcript has a single exon. The record is from RefSeq and is a predicted model, not a curated record.